UGGGGAAUUUUCCGCAAUGGGCGCAAGCCUGACGGAGCAAUACCGCGUGAGGGAGGAAGGCUUUUGGGUUGUAAACCUCUUUUGUUAAGGAAGAAAAUUUGACGGUACUUAACGAAUCAGCAUCGGCUAACUCCGUGCCAGCAGCCGCGGUAAUACGGAGGAUGCAAGCGUUAUCCGGAAUCAUUGGGCGUAAAGCGUCCGCAGGUGGUUAAUCAAGUCUGCUGUUAAAGACAGAAGCUCAACUUCUGAUAGGCAGUGGAAACUGGUGAACUAGAGUAUGGUAGGGGUUGAGGGAAUUCCCAGUGUAGCGGUGAAAUGCGUAGAUAUUGGGAAGAACACCAGUGGCGAAGGCGCUCAACUGGGCCAUAACUGACACUCAGGGACGAAAGCUAGGGUAGCGAAAGGGAUUAGAUACCCGGGUAGUCC
Molecule: ribosomal RNA, 426 nt
Filed under: uncultured prokaryote
Description: bacterial SSU rRNA
Rfam family: Bacterial small subunit ribosomal RNA
Source: RNAcentral